RNAcentral lists this ribosomal RNA (253 nucleotides) under uncultured bacterium. RNAcentral describes it as "partial 16S ribosomal RNA". It matches the Rfam family "Bacterial small subunit ribosomal RNA", at positions 524 to 776 of the family's 1533-position model. The record is from RNAcentral.
UACGAAGGUUGCAAGCGUUGUUCGGAAUCACUGGGCUUAAAGCGUAUGUAGGCGGAUGAGUAAGCGUUUUGUGAAAUCCCUCGGCUUAACCGGGGAAUUGCUUGGCGAACUGCUCAUCUUGAGGCAAGCAGGGGUGCAUGGAACUCUUGGUGGAGCGGUGGAAUGCGUAGAUAUCAAGAGGAACGCCAGCGGCGAAAGCGGUGCACUGGGCUUGUCCUGACGCUCAGAUACGAAAGCGUGGGGAGCAAACGGG